UGGGGAAUAUUGGACAAUGGGCGAAAGCCUGAUCCAGCAAUGCCGCGUGAGUGAAGAAGGCCUUCGGGUUGUAAAGCUCUUUUACCCGGGAAGAUAAUGACUGUACCGGGAGAAUAAGCCCCGGCUAACUCCGUGCCAGCAGCCGCGGUAAUACGGAGGGGGCUAGCGUUGUUCGGAAUUACUGGGCGUAAAGCGCACGUAGGCGGUCUUUUAAGUCAGAGGUGAAAGCCCGGGGCUCAACUCCGGAAUUGCCUUUGAAACUGGGAGACUUGAACACGGGAGAGGUGAGGGGAAUUCCGAGUGUAGAGGUGAAAUUCGUAGAUAUUCGGAGGAACACCAGUGGCGAAGGCGGCUCACUGGACCGUUGUUGACGCUGAGGUGCGAAAGCGUGGGGAGCAAACA
This 402-nucleotide ribosomal RNA is filed under the name uncultured prokaryote. Its description in RNAcentral is "bacterial SSU rRNA". It matches the Rfam family "Bacterial small subunit ribosomal RNA", at positions 355 to 774 of the family's 1533-position model. The record is from RNAcentral.